GAUGAACGCUGGCGGCGUGCCUAAUACAUGCCAGUCGAGCGAACAGACGAGGAGCUUGCUCCUCUGACGUUAGCGGCGGACGGGUGAGUAACACGUGGAUAACCUACCUAUAAGACUGGGAUAACUUCGGGAAACCGGAGCUAAUACCGGAUAAUAUAUUGAACCGCAUGGUUCAAUAGUGAAAGACGGUUUUGCUGUCACUUAUAGAUGGAUCCGCGCCGCAUUAGCUAGUUGGUAAGGUAACGGCUUACCAAGGCAACGAUGCGUAGCCGACCUGAGAGGGUGAUCGGCCACACUGGAACUGAGACACGGUCCAGACUCCUACGGGAGGCAGCAGUAGGGAAUCUUCCGCAAUGGGCGAAAGCCUGACGGAGCAACACCGCGUGAGUGAUGAAGGUCUUCGGAUCGUAAAACUCUGUUAUUAGGGAAGAACAAAUGUGUAAGUAACUAUGCACGUCUUGACGGUACCUAAUCAGAAAGCCACGGCUAACUACGUG
This 497-nucleotide ribosomal RNA is filed under the name uncultured bacterium. Its description in RNAcentral is "partial 16S ribosomal RNA". It matches the Rfam family "Bacterial small subunit ribosomal RNA", at positions 28 to 507 of the family's 1533-position model. The record is from RNAcentral.